GGCCGCGGGAAUUCGAUUAGAGUUUGAUUAUGGCUCAGGCACUUAGCUGGCGGCGUGCCUAACACAUGCAAGUCGAACGAACCAUCCCUUCCGAUGAAUGGACCAGCUUGCUGGGAAAGGAAUCAAUUGGGAUGACUGAGUGGCGGACGGGUGAGUAACGCGUGGGUAACCUGCCCCAUAGGGGGGGACAACAGCUGGAAACGGCUGCUAAUACCGCAUAGCAGGAAAGAGACGCAUGUCUUUUUCUUCAAAGAUUUAUCGCUAUGGGAUGGACCCGCGUCUGAUUAGCUAGUUGGUAAGGUAACGGCCUACCAAGGCGACGAUCAGUAGCCGGCUUGAGAGAGUGGACGGCCACAUUGGGACUGAGACACGGCCCAGACUCCUACGGGAGGCAGCAGUGGGGAAUAUUGCACAAUGGGGGAAACCCUGAUGCAGCGACGCCGCGUGAGUGAAGAAGUAUUUCGGUAUGUAAAGCUCUAUCAGCAGGGAAGAUAAUGACGGUACCUGACUAAGAAGCCCCGGCUAACUACGUGCCAGCAGCCGCGGUAAUACGUAGGGGGCAAGCGUUAUCCGGAUUUACUGGGUGUAAAGGGUGCGUAGGUGGCAGGGCAAGUCAGAUGUGAAAGCCCGGGGCUCAACCCCGGUACUGCAUUUGAAACUGUCCAGCUGGAGUGCAGGAGAGGUAAGCGGAAUUCCUAGUGUAGCGGUGAAAUG
RNAcentral lists this ribosomal RNA (714 nucleotides) under uncultured bacterium. RNAcentral's name for it is "partial 16S ribosomal RNA". It matches the Rfam family "Bacterial small subunit ribosomal RNA", at positions 1 to 688 of the family's 1533-position model. The record is from RNAcentral.